RNAcentral lists this long non-coding RNA (361 nucleotides) under Homo sapiens (human). Its description in RNAcentral is "HSALNT0404034". The record is from RNAcentral. Lineage: Eukaryota; Metazoa; Chordata; Mammalia; Primates; Hominidae.
ACUCGGGCCAGGCUGCUCUGCGAAGCUGCUGUUUCCUCUGCUGCCGAAGCGGUUUCUUCCACCCAGGGCGGUGCGGUGGUUUGGCGACUUAGAGCCAGCUCCACAGACUCAGAGGGCCGGAGGAGACAAGGAGGAACUCGAGGGAAGAGAAGACCUGGAGCAGGAGGGGCUGACACCAGCCCUCACUUCAUCCCAGACUAUACAGACUCACCAAGGGCUCUGACCAGGAACAGAGACCAGAGUGAUUUCAAAGAAAGAAUCUGUGAUGACACUUGAAAUGGCUUUUAUAGAUAAUAUUUGAUGACGGAAGGAGACAUCAGGUUGUUCUGGGUAUUAAGAAAACAGAGGCUGGCCGGGUACG